CGGGCCUGAGCCCGAGGCUCCUCGCAGGGCUCCGGGGCCAGGUCCAGGCCAGGAUAGCAGCCUGGAGCUCCAGUCUCGGGUCUCCAAGGCCCUUGUGAAAACGCUCUUAUCUCAAGAAAGGAGAAAGAGUGUGCGGUCCCUCCCCAGGCCCCUUGGUGGCGAAGAACACGCUUGGUAUCGAAGAGCGCGGGUGUGUGAGUCAGAGGCGCUGGGUUUGAAAUCGGAUUCUGCCCCUAGUGACUGGGAUUCUGAGCAAUUGUCCUAACCCCUGUCCAACCAAGAGAACCACUGCUUCUUCAAGGGAAGCUGGAGGACGACGUGAAAUAAUGGACAGAGCCUGCACCGGACAUACAAGAAUGGCUAAAAUUGCAAGAAAAGAAACCCGUCAAUACCAAACGUGGCAAUGCUUGGAGCAGCUGGAACUCUCCUACACUGAAGGUUGAAUAAACGUGAUACCAGGUGGAAGCUCAGAUCUACACGAGGAAUGAAGAAUGCCGGAAAUCAUAAAUAUAUGAGCCACUCAAGGCCUUGAAAUUUAUGUGACUCUCCCAAAGUAUGACCCAGAGCCUAGAUGCUGAACUGCCAGAACCCAUGGACAUUUAGGACUCGAGUAAAUCACAGGACAAUAAGAGCAACCAAGUACGGCCUCGUCCAAGUACAGCUUUGCAGGUUUUCUGCCCUCUUUUCUGGAAGGUGCACAAUGCUCGGCUCUGUGGUUAUUUUCGCCUAACAGCUGUGUUUCCGGUGAGCAGCUGGGAGAUGCUUCUGACUCAGCAGAACUGGAGCAGUAACCGUCAAGAAGCCGCUCAAGCGAGGCUAGAAAUCAAGAAGCAGUUUCCCCCUCAGUCCCCGUCCUUUCACUUCCCCACCCGUGGGCACCUUUUGAAAGUCUCACAGAGCACUUCUGAAAAACCGCUUGGACCCGCGUGCUCGAGGCCUGGCUGGAGGUGGGCCCGCAGCUAGGCUUUCCGAAAACAGAUGGAUUCCGGAAAGGACUGUGCCAAACCCACCGGCUUUGUUUGGAAGGCCCCUCCCAGGAGGCCCCCCCUUCCCCGCGCGGCUUGUAUCUUACAAGUUUCCCACAGGUCUGAGCAGUGAAAGCAGAGGCGGUCGGGACUUCUGUGGUUUUCCAGGGUGGGGCCCAUGUUGCCUUCCCCAGGCUGGGGUGGCUUAGGUUCUGCAGCUCGCCUGUUUUUCAGAGGUGAUGAUUUCGCCCUGGGUCUGGGAGGCGGCUCCAAAUUUCUACCCACUGGCCCUGGAUUCCAGCCCUGACCUCGAGGGGGGCGCUAGAAGUCCUGCCCGCAGCGGGAAGGGAGCAAACCAGAGAGGACCUGGCGUCCUGGAGAGCUGGCCUCUGUGCAUGCUGGUGCCUGCAAAGGGCUCACGGGAGAGGGAGACAGCUGCACCCGGAGCGCCUUGCUGCUGUUCCGAGAAAGAAAGGAACAAAUAAAUUUAGCUCCAACCUACGCAUCCUUCACAGCUGCUUAUUGACCAAACAGAAAGGGGCCUCUCUUUCAACCCUGGCUUCUCAGCUCUGUGCCCAAGGAGGUCUGCCACGGCCCGCACAAGGGGCUUUUCUGGGAGGUAACCGACCCCGGCCACCUUUAGCUCUGGGCUGGGCGUUGCACAAGAGCUCAGGUUCAAGGUGCGUGGUGCUUUUGGCCAUCCUGAAACAAAAUGGUGGCCGGGAAGCGUUUCCACCCGGGCCUUGCUCAGCUCCUGGAACUUCUCAUGCGCGUCUUUGGGAGGCAGAGCAUGGGGCAGGCUUGAGGGAUGUGUGGCUGCUCCAAGGCCAGCCGAUAGCUCCCUGAGCCAUUAGUUUAAUAGCACCAUUCGUGGGAAUAAAGAACUCGCUGACGGGGGUCCGCAAGUUAAGAGACUGGAACGAAGUGCUGAAGAGGUUUCAGGCAGCUCGCCAGUGUGGAGGGGCUCCUGUGGGACAGGGAGGGCCGGCCCUGUGCUUCCAGUCACCGGAGUCUGGCUCAAGUCCUAGCUCCACCGCCUAAGGGCAGGGUGCCUCUGGGCAGGGAGAGCUGGCUCCUCACCUGGAAGUGAGAUGCUGGCCGUGACACUGGGCCCUUCUGAGCCUUGGCUCCUUACCUGGGAAGCAGAGAUAGUGUUCUAAGCUUGUCAUGAGGAUUAAAGGACAUCGUGUCCCGAGCAUGCCUGGCCCAGUUCUUGGUGUGCCAGGAGGGCCUGUGGUAACUGUUUCACCUGCCCGGGCCUGUUGUCUUCCCUUCUGGCCACGGCGUCCCACUGUCUCUCCUCCUGCUCUUCUCCAUAAGAUUUGGGGAUCACCUUACUCUCAAACUCUGAAGAUGAGCACGUAGCCCAGGCCAAAUCAUGGACAGUCCCACACACCCCUGGCCAUAGUGAUUAGUUUCUGGAUGUGCAUGGGACCCAAGCUGGGACAAUCAGAGCCAACUUUAGGAAUGUUAUUGGAACUAUUAGGACAGAGAAAAUCUUUCUUCUGGGUUUCUAAGAGGUCAAGGUUUAAAUGUGGUGCUGCUGGUGGCUGUCUUUGUAUAAAGGAGGGAAGAAUCUGCCAACAGGAGAAGGAAGCCAACAGAGAGAAAAACAAACAUGAGGUGACUGUGUCCUGACCAUUUGACCCCUUGAUCCAGCCAUACCUGAACCCAUCACUCCUUAAACUUCCCAGUUAUCUGAG
This is a long non-coding RNA of Equus caballus (horse), 2668 nucleotides long. Lineage: Eukaryota; Metazoa; Chordata; Mammalia; Perissodactyla; Equidae. The record is from Ensembl.